Molecule: long non-coding RNA, 487 nt
Filed under: Elaeis guineensis (African oil palm)
Lineage: Eukaryota; Viridiplantae; Streptophyta; Magnoliopsida; Arecales; Arecaceae
Description: long non-coding RNA (EGUI_LNC041783)
Source: RNAcentral
UCCCGAGAGUAGGUGAACUUGGAGUUCCAAAUUCUUCGCUUCAUUAUCGCAAUGGCCGUCACCUCAUCGAGGUCCUUGACCUCUAAGGUAACGGUGUUGAAAUGCACCACAAACUCCCAUAAAGAUUCUCCAUCUUGCUAUCAGAUAGAGAAGAGGCUGUCAGUGGUUCUAGACACUCUCCAAUUUGUGCCGAAGUAUGCCAUGAAUUGUUGCUCGAAUUGCUCAAAAGAAUUGAUGCUUCCCGAUUGCAGCCCCGAGUACCACGCUCGUACGAUUUUUCAGAGUGUAACUAGAAAAGCAAUACAAAGAAGGACAUUAGAUACCUCAUGUAGAAGCAUGAGAGCUUUGUAUCUUCCAAGAUGAUCGAGUGGGUCAGUAGAGCCAUCGUAUGGCUCAAUUUGUGGUAUUUUGAAUCGAUUGGAAUUGGUUCGUCAAUGAUCCAUCUUCAGAAAGAAGGACUCGUAUUGACAUUGAACUUGUUGGUCGG